Molecule: ribosomal RNA, 253 nt
Filed under: uncultured bacterium
Lineage: Bacteria
Description: partial 16S ribosomal RNA
Rfam family: Bacterial small subunit ribosomal RNA
Source: RNAcentral
UACAGAGGAUGCAAGCGUUAUCCGGAAUGAUUGGGCGUGAAGCGUCUGUAGGUGGCUUUUUAAGUCCGCCGUCAAAUCCCAGGGCUCAACUCUGGACAGGCGGUGGAAACUACCAAGCUGGAGUACGGUAGGGGCAGAGGGAAUUUCCGGUGGAGCGGUGAAAUGCGUAGAGAUCGGAAAGAACACCCGUGGCGAAGGCGGCACUCUGGGACGGUACUGACGCUGAGACGCGAAAGCGUGGGGAGCGAACAGG